Pelobates cultripes (western spadefoot toad) is the source of this 277-nucleotide non-coding RNA. Lineage: Eukaryota; Metazoa; Chordata; Amphibia; Anura; Pelobatidae. The record is from the annotation of a GenBank genome assembly.
CUCAUGUUAGGUCCCACUUAUUCUCAUUAGGCCCUGCCUCCUCCUCAAACAGCUUCUCAGUUUAUAAUCUUUUCCUUCCAGCACUGCCACCUGGUGCCGAUCUCAAAGGGGGAGGAACCUAAUGAGAGGGUGGAGCCUAGCGCGGCACACCUUGAUGAUUCGUGCCUUUGCACCCACCCAGGAUUGGCCUUGGCUCAUUAAGAAGCAUAGUAAUACUGCAUGCGCGUGUAUUCCUCGGCACAGACUAAGUCUGUAACUCUUGCAAAGUGUGUUUCCA